ACUGGGGUAGUACUUUAAGGAGGUAAUAUUUUGAUUUUCUCAGUAGUUUUCUCAAUAUAUUGGAAGAAUUGGAAAAACCGGAGGAAAAACGGGAGAACUAGAAAAUAGGUACAAUAUUAAACAAUAUUAUUAAAGAAAAUGUUUAAUACAUAUGUUAUUAUUUGACCAUAUCACAUAUAUAUAUAUAUAUUGUUGACAAAGCAACGAUAUCAACUGAACUCGACUCAGAAUUGUUUUUUCGUUAGCAAUAGUUUAUCGUUGCUUAGAGAUAUAUAUAAAUUCCUGUCUGUACCCUAUACCUUCCCAACAUCCUACCUACAACAGUGGCUAUACUCACGUGCGAAGGAUGUCCGUCUUUUUUC
Molecule: non-coding RNA, 362 nt
Organism: Cinara cedri
Lineage: Eukaryota; Metazoa; Arthropoda; Insecta; Hemiptera; Aphididae
Source: the annotation of a GenBank genome assembly